This 93-nucleotide ribosomal RNA is filed under the name uncultured bacterium. RNAcentral's name for it is "partial 16S ribosomal RNA". It matches the Rfam family "Bacterial small subunit ribosomal RNA", at positions 1390 to 1482 of the family's 1533-position model. The record is from RNAcentral.
CCGCCCGUCACACCAUGGGAGUUGAUUGCACCAGAAGCAGGUAGCCUGACCGCAGGGAGGGCGCCUACCACGGUGUGGUCAAUGACUGGGGUG